Long non-coding RNA from Melospiza melodia melodia, 170 nucleotides. RefSeq lists it as uncharacterized. Lineage: Eukaryota; Metazoa; Chordata; Aves; Passeriformes; Passerellidae. The transcript is spliced from 3 exons. The record is from RefSeq and is a predicted model, not a curated record.
GGAAAACCAGGAGGUAAUGGGUACCUGUGCUCCAGCUGACUCAUUUUCAGUCUGAUGUAACCAUCCACACUGCCAUGAAUUCUCAGAAGAUCCCUGAGAAUCUGUGCGGUCAGGACACUUAUUGGGAAGGUGCAGACCACAGGAUUACCAUGAGGCGUUGAUCAGAAGCC